GGGGGCGUCACGGCUUCGACGGAGAUGCUUGCGGCCAAGAGGCAUGCCGGGGUGCACACACCCGUAAUCGCGUGCAAAAUGAUAAUUGCCAAUCAACAAAUGGCAUACGCAGCCUAAUUAAUUAGGCAGCCGCUCUCCACAGCUUCGCCCUUGGGCUGUGAGCGAGCGUCACACAGAGGGCUGCUCUUCUCUGCUACGUCUGGGCAGGGAGGUUAAGAUCUCAGGCUAGCGGCAACCGUUUCUUGUCCGUUCUGAGCGGGGGUCGCGAACGUCUCAGGGUAAUGCCUGGGGCAUGAACCGGAAUAAGCAUGUAGUCUCUUGACCAGUAACAUUUUCGGACGCGGGUUCAACUCCCGCCGCCUCCACCA
RNAcentral lists this transfer-messenger RNA (368 nucleotides) under Terriglobales. RNAcentral describes it as "JAIQFF01 sp020073395 Standard tmRNA". It matches the Rfam family "transfer-messenger RNA". From Rfam's summary of the family: Bacterial tmRNA, also known as 10Sa RNA or SsrA, is named for its dual tRNA and mRNA-like properties. Its role is to liberate the mRNA from a stalled ribosome. Lineage: Bacteria; Pseudomonadati; Acidobacteriota; Terriglobia. RNAcentral also lists the same sequence under 1 other name. The record is from RNAcentral.